Molecule: ribosomal RNA, 494 nt
Filed under: uncultured bacterium
Lineage: Bacteria
Description: partial 16S ribosomal RNA
Rfam family: Bacterial small subunit ribosomal RNA
Source: RNAcentral
GACGAACGCUGGCGGCGUGCUUAACACAUGCAAGUCGAACGGAAAGGCCUGCUUUCCCUUGUGGAUUGCGGGUGCUCGAGUGGCGAACGGGUGAGUAACACGUGAGUGAUCUGCCCCCAACUUGGGUAUAAGCCUGGGAAACUGGGUCUAAUUCCCGAUAGGACUGCAGGGUGGUGCCUGUGGUGGAAAACGAUUUUCUAGUGGUUGGGGAUGAGCUCGCGGCCUAUCAGCUUGUUGGUGGGGUAAUGGCCUACCAAGGCGGCGACGGGUAGCCGGCCUGAGGGGGUGGACGGCCACAUUGGGACUGAGAUACGGCCCAGACUCCUACGGGAGGCAGCAGUGGGGAAUAUUGCACAAUGGGCGGAAGCCUGAUGCAGCGACGCCGCGUGGGGGAUGACGGCCUUCGGGUUGUAAACUCCUUUCGACCGCGAGGAAGCCGCCUGGUUGGAAGGGUGGUGACGGUAGUGGUAGAAGAAGCACCGGCUAACUACGUG